RNAcentral lists this transfer RNA (73 nucleotides) under Candidatus Izimoplasma sp. HR2. RNAcentral's name for it is "Candidatus Izimaplasma sp. HR2 tRNA". It matches the Rfam family "tRNA". Rfam says of the family: Transfer RNA (tRNA) molecules are approximately 80 nucleotides in length. RNAcentral also lists the same sequence under 1 other name. The record is from Rfam by way of RNAcentral. Lineage: Bacteria; Bacillati; Mycoplasmatota; Mollicutes; Candidatus Izemoplasmatales; Candidatus Izemoplasmataceae.
GCCGGAAUAGCUCAGAUGGUAGAGCAACUGACUUGUAAUCAGUAGGUCACGGGUUCGACUCCUGUUUCCGGCA